CACACACGGAUUUGCGGGAUCGGAGCACAUCAUGCCGAUUCCUCCGGUGGCGGGUGAAACCGCUUCUGUCCGUGGAGGCUCAACCGGUAAAGGAACGAAAUUC
This is a small RNA of 103 nucleotides. It matches the Rfam family "rpsB sRNA".